Molecule: long non-coding RNA, 333 nt
Organism: Lytechinus variegatus (green sea urchin)
Lineage: Eukaryota; Metazoa; Echinodermata; Echinoidea; Temnopleuroida; Toxopneustidae
Exons: 2
Source: RefSeq, a predicted model, not a curated record
UUUUUUUAAAUACAGACAAAUUAUACAUCACUUGAAAGGUUUUUUCAAGACAAAUUCAAUGGUGAAGACCAAAUUACAAUUGGAGCACCAUAACUGAAGAUAUGGCCUCUUAAAGGGACGCUAUACGCGGAACUUUUCUGCCACCCAAGACAAGUACCCAUUGGGUGGCAGAUCUACAGAUCUGAGAAUGCGAGAUCAGACAGCUGGAGCUGCAACAGUAGCUAGAAAUGUACUCCACUGCUUAGAAUUAUAGAAUAUAUUAACAUUAAAAAUAUUGGAAUAUAUAAAGUUAAAAAGCAAGUCUCUGACAUUAUCUGAAUUUCUACUACAUUU